AGAGUUUGAUCAUGGCUCAGAUUGAACGCUGGCGGCAGGCCUAACACAUGCAAGUCGAGCGGUAGCACAGAGAGCUUGCUCUCGGGUGACGAGCGGCGGACGGGUGAGUAAUGUCUGGGAAACUGCCUGAUGGAGGGGGAUAACUACUGGAAACGGUAGCUAAUACCGCAUAAUGUCGCAAGACCAAAGUGGGGGACCUUCGGGCCUCAUGCCAUCAGAUGUGCCCAGAUGGGAUUAGCUAGUAGGUGGGGUAACGGCUCACCUAGGCGACGAUCCCUAGCUGGUCUGAGAGGAUGACCAGCCACACUGGAACUGAGACACGGUCCAGACUCCUACGGGAGGCAGCAGUGGGGAAUAUUGCACAAUGGGCGCAAGCCUGAUGCAGCCAUGCCGCGUGUGUGAAGAAGGCCUUCGGGUUGUAAAGCACUUUCAGCGGGGAGGAAGGCGUUGAGGUUAAUAACCUUGUCGAUUGACGUUACCCGCAGAAGAAGCACCGGCUAACUCCGUGCCAGCAGCCGCGGUAAUACGGAGGGUGCAAGCGUUAAUCGGAAUUACUGGGCGUAAAGCGCACGCAGGCGGUCUGUCAAGUCGGAUGUGAAAUCCCCGGGCUCAACCUGGGAACUGCAUUCGAAACUGGCAGGCUAGAGUCUUGUAGAGGGGGGUAGAAUUCCAGGUGUAGCGGUGAAAUGCGUAGAGAUCUGGAGGAAUACCGGUGGCGAAGGCGGCCCCCUGGACAAAGACUGACGCUCAGGUGCGAAAGCGUGGGGAGCAAACAGGAUUAGAUACCCUGGUAGUCCACGCCGUAAACGAUGUCGAUUUGGAGGUUGUGCCCUUGAGGCGUGGCUUCCGGAGCUAACGCGUUAAAUCGACCGCCUGGGGAGUACGGCCGCAAGGUUAAAACUCAAAUGAAUUGACGGGGGCCCGCACAAGCGGUGGAGCAUGUGGUUUAAUUCGAUGCAACGCGAAGAACCUUACCUGGUCUUGACAUCCACAGAACUUUCCAGAGAUGGAUUGGUGCCUUCGGGAACUGUGAGACAGGUGCUGCAUGGCUGUCGUCAGCUCGUGUUGUGAAAUGUUGGGUUAAGUCCCGCAACGAGCGCAACCCUUAUCCUUUGUUGCCAGCGGUUCGGCCGGGAACUCAAAGGAGACUGCCAGUGAUAAACUGGAGGAAGGUGGGGAUGACGUCAAGUCAUCAUGGCCCUUACGACCAGGGCUACACACGUGCUACAAUGGCAUAUACAAAGAGAAGCGACCUCGCGAGAGCAAGCGGACCUCAUAAAGUAUGUCGUAGUCCGGAUUGGAGUCUGCAACUCGACUCCAUGAAGUCGGAAUCGCUAGUAAUCGUAGAUCAGAAUGCUACGGUGAAUACGUUCCCGGGCCUUGUACACACCGCCCGUCACACCAUGGGAGUGGGUUGCAAAAGAAGUAGGUAGCUUAACCUUCGGGAGGGCGCUUACCACUUUGUGAUUCAUGACUGGGGUGAAGUCGUAACAAGGUAACCGUAGGGGAACCUGCGGUUGGAUCACCU
This 1528-nucleotide ribosomal RNA is filed under the name Klebsiella pneumoniae. RNAcentral describes it as "bacterial SSU rRNA". It matches the Rfam family "Bacterial small subunit ribosomal RNA". Lineage: Bacteria; Pseudomonadati; Pseudomonadota; Gammaproteobacteria; Enterobacterales; Enterobacteriaceae. The record is from RNAcentral.